GGACGAACGCUGGCGGCGUGCCUGAUACAUGCAAGUUGAGCGCUGAAGGUUGGUACUUGUACCAACUGGAUGAGCAGCGAACGGGUGAGUAACGCGUGGGGAAUCUGCCUUUGAGCGGGGGACAACAUUUGGAAACGAAUGCUAAUACCGCAUAAAAACUUUAAACACAAGUUUUAAGUUUGAAAGAUGCAAUUGCAUCACUCAAAGAUGAUCCCGCGUUGUAUUAGCUAGUUGGUGAGGUAAAGGCUCACCAAGGCGAUGAUACAUAGCCGACCUGAGAGGGUGAUCGGCCACAUUGGGACUGAGACACGGCCCAAACUCCUACGGGAGGCAGCAGUAGGGAAUCUUCGGCAAUGGACGAAAGUCUGACCGAGCAACGCCGCGUGAGUGAAGAAGGUUUUCGGAUCGUAAAACUCUGUUGGUAGAGAAGAACGUUGGUGAGAGUGGAAAGCUCAUCAAGUGACGGUAACUACCCAGAAAGGGACGGCUAACUACGUG
Molecule: ribosomal RNA, 498 nt
Filed under: uncultured bacterium
Lineage: Bacteria
Description: partial 16S ribosomal RNA
Rfam family: Bacterial small subunit ribosomal RNA
Source: RNAcentral